Molecule: long non-coding RNA, 957 nt
Organism: Oncorhynchus nerka (sockeye salmon)
Lineage: Eukaryota; Metazoa; Chordata; Actinopteri; Salmoniformes; Salmonidae
Exons: 4
Source: RefSeq, a predicted model, not a curated record
AGGACCCAGAUGCUAUACAGUGGGAAAACCAGCCUGGCAACAUAAGCUCACAAGCUAUCAGAAAGUUGUAUGGCAACCACCUCCGGCGCCAAAUAGAACUGGCAGACAGACAUUCAGUACAAGAAGAAAAAGAUGGAAAAUCUUGCACUGGAGUCCGAAAUAAAAAGAGGACAAUUAGGAAACUGGACCUUGAAAUAAAAAAACUUGAGAGGGAGCUCCAAGAAGAUGACACAGCUCAAAAUAAAAAUUAGGUAUAUUCUCGUAAAGUCAAGUGAGCCAUGACAUAUGAGCUCUUAUUGUGAGCACACAGGACGGUGGCAUCUUUCUAAGGUUUUUUUUUUAUUUUCCCAGCAAUCAGUACAACCAAGUCAUCGUUAUAAGGCAUCGCCCUCUUUUGCCCACCCCCAGCACCAGGUGUGGCCACUAGCCUAUAUGAAGGCCCAAAAUUGUGUGUUCCUUUCUGCUCUGACAAUGGCAUGCCCAUUCGUGCGAGAUGUGGUGGAUGAAGAAGCACUUGUGCUGAGGAGAGCCUUCAGGCGAGAAAGGGUCUUCAGGGACCGGUUGGACCCACUGGCCUUCCCUGAUGACCAUCUAUAUGAAAGAUACAGGUUUUCUGCAGAUGGCAUCAGGUAUCUAUGCAGACUACUGGGUCCCAGGAUUAAGCACCGCACUGCACGGAGCCAUGCACUGAGUGUGGAGCAAAUGGUUUGUGUGGCCUUGCGCUUUUUUGCUAGUGGAGCCUUCCUGUACUCAGUGGGGGAUGCAGAACAGCUGAACAAGGCCACAAUUUGCCGCACAAUAAGGAGUGUGUGUCUGGCUAUCAAAGCAUUAGCAGAUGUCUUCAUCUCCUUCCCUGGCCACAGAAGACUCUGUGACAUCAAAGAGGAGUUCUAUAGGAUUGCAGGUUUCCCCAAUGUCAUUGGUGCAGUGGACUGCACACACAAGGAUAAAAGCCCC